GACGAACGCUGGCGGCGUGCCUAAUACAUGCAAGUCGAACGCUUCUUUUUCCACCGGAGCUUGCUCCACCGGAAAAAGAGGAGUGGCGAACGGGUGAGUAACACGUGGGUAACCUGCCCAUCAGAAGGGGAUAACACUUGGAAACAGGUGCUAAUACCGUAUAACAAUCGAAACCGCAUGGUUUUGCUUUGAAAGGCGCUUUCGGGUGUCGCUGAUGGAUGGACCCGCGGUGCAUUAGCUAGUUGGUGAGGUAACGGCUCACCAAGGCCACGAUGCAUAGCCGACCUGAGAGGGUGAUCGGCCACAUUGGGAUUGAGACACGGCCCAAACUCCUACGGGAGGCGGCAGUAGGGAAUCUUCGGCAAUGGACGAAAGUCUGACCGAGCAACGCCGCGUGAGUGAAGGAGGUUUUCGGAUCGUAAAACUCUGUUGUUAGAGAAGAACAAGGAUGAGAGUAACUGUUCAUCCCUUGACGGUAUCUAACCAGAAAGCCACGGCUAACUACGUGCCAGCAGCCGCAGUAA
This 524-nucleotide ribosomal RNA is filed under the name uncultured bacterium. Its description in RNAcentral is "partial 16S ribosomal RNA". It matches the Rfam family "Bacterial small subunit ribosomal RNA", at positions 28 to 523 of the family's 1533-position model. The record is from RNAcentral.